Molecule: ribosomal RNA, 459 nt
Filed under: Salmonella enterica subsp. enterica serovar Infantis
Lineage: Bacteria; Pseudomonadati; Pseudomonadota; Gammaproteobacteria; Enterobacterales; Enterobacteriaceae
Description: partial 23S ribosomal RNA
Rfam family: Bacterial large subunit ribosomal RNA
Source: RNAcentral
AAUCCAUAGGUUAAUGAGGCGAACCGGGGGAACUGAAACAUCUAAGUACCCCGAGGAAAAGAAAUCAACCGAGAUUCCCCCAGUAGCGGCGAGCGAACGGGGAGGAGCCCAGAGCCUGAAUCAGCAUGUGUGUUAGUGGAAGCGUCUGGAAAGGCGCGCGAUACAGGGUGACAGCCCCGUACACAAAAGCGCAUGUGCUGUGAGCUCGAUGAGUAGGGCGGGACACGUGGUAUCCUGUCUGAAUAUGGGGGGACCAUCCUCCAAGGCUAAAUACUCCUGACUGACCGAUAGUGAACCAGUACCGUGAGGGAAAGGCGAAAAGAACCCCGGCGAGGGGAGUGAAAAAGAACCUGAAACCGUGUACGUACAAGCAGUGGGAGCCCCACCACCAAAGCAUUCUCUGGUGUUGAAGGCCCUGCAAAGCAGCAUCGCGGUGGCGGAGCGUCGUUUGCGACGCCC